CUGCAAUUCAGUUCAGUUAAACCCAACUUUGACUUGUGUAUUAACAUAUUGCUGUUAGAUCUCUUGAGAAAGGCUUUGACUGUAAGCAUACCUAAACUUUUUAAUUUUUCAUGCAUGCCACUAGCAACAGGAAUGAGUAGAGUCUGGCAGGCCCCUUUAGGCAUGGCAGGUCUCUCCUUCUGUCACUGUGAACGUUGCACAUUGUCAAUGCACUAGUUUUAAAAUGUGUCAACCUAUGAGCAGCCCUCCCUGACCGGGGGCCCCAUGCAGUACCCUUUGGUUAGAAGAUCUUAUGAUAUUGCGUCAGUUUACUUUCAUUCUUGUAGCUGCAGCUCCUCAAGACCUGUACUUCACUGGCACUGGAGUUUUAGCUAAUUUCUUUGAUCAGAGCAGCUUCUCUCAGACAGGGAAUGAACGGGUUGUGCAAAAGGAUCUUUCUGCUGAUUUUUACAGUGGGAGCAGUAAUUAGAAGCACAAUCCAGGACUCAGAAAUUAAACCUGUGAUCCCAGCAACAGUUGAAGUGUGUUCAGGAUCUAACGCUACCAUCAACUGUACUUUCACAACAGAUUCUGAAGGCCUCAAAAUAAGAUGGCUUUUUAAUUCCUCGUCUAGUGAAUCUAAGAUAGAUCACAACGACGAGCAUUAUGAUCUUAAAAAUGAAAAGACGUGGUCGGCACUGACUAUUAAAGAAGUUACGUUUAAUGACAGUGGAUUGUACUAUUGUGUGGUUACACAGGACAUCCCUAGCUUAAAAGACUACUACAGCAAUGGAUCUCUAUUAAAUGUAAUCGUGGGAGCAGUGAAUAGGAGCACAAUACAGGACUCGGAAAUUAAACCUGUGGUCCCGGCAACAGUUGAAGUGUGUUCAGGAUCUUACGCUACCAUCAACUGUACUUUCACAACAGAUUCUGAAGGCCUCAAAAUAAGAUGGCAUUUUAAUUCCUCGUCUAGUCAACCUAAGACAGAAGAUAACGACGAGCAUUAUGAGAUUAAAAAUGGAAAGACGUGGUCGGCGCUGACUAUUAAAGAAGUUACGUUUAAUGACAGUGGAUUGUACUAUUGUGUGGUUAUACAGGAUAUCCCUAUAUUAAAAGAAUACUACAGCAAUGGCUCUCAAUUAAAUGUAAUCGGUAAGUAAAAGCUAUUUUUAAUGUUUAAAAUCUCAUACAUAAUCUAGCUUAUUUUAAACACU
Molecule: long non-coding RNA, 1193 nt
Filed under: Astyanax mexicanus (Mexican tetra)
Lineage: Eukaryota; Metazoa; Chordata; Actinopteri; Characiformes; Acestrorhamphidae
Description: lncRNA (ENSAMXG00005019909.1)
Source: RNAcentral